UAGGGAAUCUUCCACAAUGGACGAAAGUCUGAUGGAGCAACGCCGCGUGAGUGAAGAAGGGUUUCGGCUCGUAAAACUCUGUUGUUAAAGAAGAACGUGGGUAAGAGUAACUGUUUACCCAGUGACGGUAUUUAACCAGAAAGUCACGGCUAACUACGUGUCAG
This 164-nucleotide ribosomal RNA is filed under the name uncultured bacterium. RNAcentral describes it as "partial 16S ribosomal RNA". It matches the Rfam family "Bacterial small subunit ribosomal RNA", at positions 355 to 511 of the family's 1533-position model. The record is from RNAcentral.